UGAGUACGAGAUGCUACGGCAUCGAAGCAGUCUAUGUCAUACUUCCAAGAAAAGCUUGCACUGUCAUAAACAAAGAAUGCCUGUACCAUAACCGACACAGGUGGGUAGGUAGAGUAUACUAAGGAGCGCGAGAUAACUCUCUCUAAGGAACUCGGCAAAAUGACUCCGUAACUUCGGGAGAAGGAGUGCCUUAUUUCUAAGGUUGCAAUAACAAGAUCCAAGCAACUGUUUACCAAAAACACAGGUCUCCGCUAAGUCGUAAGACGAUGUAUGGGGGCUGACGCCUGCCCAGUGCCAGAAGGUUAAAGAAGUUGGUUAGCAUUAGCGAAGCUGAUAACUGAAGCCCUGGUGAACGGCGGCCGUAACUAUAACGGUCCUAAGGUAGCGAAAUUCCUUGUCGGGUAAGUUCCGACCCGCACGAAAGGCGUAAUGAUUUGGAUACUGUCUCGGAGAGGGGCUCGGUGAAAUAGACUUGUCUGUGAAGAUGCGGACUACCUGCACCUGGACAGAAAGACCCUAUGAAGCUUUACUGUAACUUGAGAUUGAAAUUGGACUUUAUUUGCGCAGUAUAGGUGGGAGGCGUUGAGAAUAAUCUUGCGGGAUUGUUGGAGCCAUCAGUGAGAUACCACUCUUGUAAUGUUAGAUUUCUAACUUUGUAUCAUUAUCUGGUCAAAGAACAGUUUCAGGCGGGCAGUUUGACUGGGGCGGUCGCCUCCCAAAGGGUAACGGAGGCGCACAAAGGUUUCCUCUGAACGGGUAGAAAUCGUAUCUAGAGUGUAAAGGCAUAAGGAAGCUUGACUGUGAGACCUACAAGUCGAGCAGGGACGAAAGUCGGUCUUAGUGAUCUGACGGUGCUGAGUGGAAAGGCCGUCACUCAACGGAUAAAAGUUACUCUAAGGAUAACAGGCUGAUCUCCCCCAAGAGUUCACAUCGACGGGGAGGUUUGGCACCUCGAUGUCGGCUCAUCGCAUCCUGGGGCGGUAGUCCGUCCCAAGGGUUGGGCUGUUCGCCCAUGAAAGCGGUACGCGAGCUGGGUUCAGAACGUUGUGAGACAGUUCGGUCCAUAUCCGGUGUAGGCGUUAGAAUAUUGAGAGGAGCCUUCUCUAGUACGAGAGGACCGAGAAGGACAUACCUCUGGUGUACCAGUUAUCGUGCCAACGGUAAACGCUGGGUAGCUAUGUAUGGAGUGGAUAACCGCUGAAAGCAUCUAAGUGGGAAGCCCACCUCAAGAUAAGUAUUCUCA
This 1243-nucleotide ribosomal RNA is filed under the name metagenome. RNAcentral describes it as "bacterial LSU rRNA". It matches the Rfam family "Bacterial large subunit ribosomal RNA", at positions 1564 to 2816 of the family's 2925-position model. The record is from RNAcentral.